GAUGAACGCUGACAGAAUGCUUAACACAUGCAAGUCUACUUGAACUUCGGUUUGGGUGGCGGACGGGUGAGUAACGCGUAAAGAACUUGCCUCACAGAUAGGGACAACAUUUGGAAACGAAUGCUAAUACCUGAUAUUAUGAUUUUAGGGCAUCCUAGAAUUAUGAAAGCUAUAUGCACUGUGAGAGAGCUUUGCGUCCCAUUAGCUAGUUGGAGAGGUAACGGCUCACCAAGGCGAUGAUGGGUAGCCGGCCUGAGAGGGUGAUCGGCCACAAGGGGACUGAGACACGGCCCUUACUCCUACGGGAGGCAGCAGUGGGGAAUAUUGGACAAUGGACCAAGAGUCUGAUCCAGCAAUUCUGUGUGCACGGUGAAGUUUUUCGGAAUGUAAAGUGCUUUCAGUUGGGAAGAAAAAAAUGACGGUACCAACAGAAGAAGUGACGGCUAAAUACGUG
RNAcentral lists this ribosomal RNA (454 nucleotides) under uncultured bacterium. RNAcentral describes it as "partial 16S ribosomal RNA". It matches the Rfam family "Bacterial small subunit ribosomal RNA", at positions 28 to 507 of the family's 1533-position model. The record is from RNAcentral.